RNAcentral lists this long non-coding RNA (242 nucleotides) under Monodelphis domestica (gray short-tailed opossum). RNAcentral's name for it is "lncRNA (ENSMODG00000030751.2)". Lineage: Eukaryota; Metazoa; Chordata; Mammalia; Didelphimorphia; Didelphidae. The record is from RNAcentral.
AUGACUGAGAGCUGUGCCUGGGUCAGUGUGUCAGAUCACAAACUGAAUGCUCCUAGGGGACUGAAAAUCAAACCUAACAACAAGACAGAACUAAGGAACCCUCCUGCUGGACACAAUCCAAAAGGGCUGACAUCUGGAAAAAAAGAAAAAAAUUCAUGGAAUUCAGAAGAUCUUCUCUGGAGUGGUUUUAACAAGUAUCUUAAGGAAAUUUUAGACUACAAAUAAAACUAUUCAAGCAAAGA